CGCGUCCUACCAUGCAAGUCAAGGCGUAGCCGAAAGGCUACGACUGGCGCACGGGUGAGUAACGCGUAGGUAACCUACCCCUACCCCUGACAUAACACCGAGAAAUCGGUGCUAAUAUCAGAUGAGGAGCCGAGAGGCUUCAAAGGGGCAACCCGGGUAGGGAUGGGCCUGCGUCCGAUUAGGUAGUUGGUAGGGUAAAAGCCUACCAAGCCGACGAUCGGUAGCUGGCCUGAGAGGGUGGUCAGCCACACUGGGACUGAGACACGGCCCAGACUCCUACGGGAGGCAGCAGUGAGGAAUAUUGGGCAAUGGGCGAAAGCCUGACCCAGCGACGCCGCGUGUGGGAUGACGGAGCUCUGCUUCGUAAACCACUGUCGGAGGGGAAGAAAAGCUCCCACGGGGAGCUGGGACUGUACCCUCAGAGGAAGGAUCGGCUAACUACGUGCCAGCAGCCGCGGUAAAACGUAGGAUCCGAGCGUUGUCCGGAAUCACUGGGUGUAAAGGGUGCGUAGGCGGGCUUGCGCGUCAAGGGUUAAAGACCUCGGCUCAACCGAGGCAAUGCCCUUGAUACGGCAAGUCUUGAGUGCGGGAGAGGAUGGUGGAAUUCCUGGUGUAGCGGUGAAAUGCGUAGAGAUCA
Molecule: ribosomal RNA, 637 nt
Filed under: uncultured bacterium
Lineage: Bacteria
Description: bacterial SSU rRNA
Rfam family: Bacterial small subunit ribosomal RNA
Source: RNAcentral